This 468-nucleotide ribosomal RNA is filed under the name uncultured bacterium. RNAcentral describes it as "partial 16S ribosomal RNA". It matches the Rfam family "Bacterial small subunit ribosomal RNA", at positions 28 to 507 of the family's 1533-position model. The record is from RNAcentral.
GACGAACGCUGGCGGCGUGCUUAACACAUGCAAGUCGAACGGAAAGGCGCUGCUCUUGUGGGUCUCUCGAUUGCCGAACGGGUGUGUAUCACGUGAGUAACCUCCCCUUGACUUUCUGAUAACUUCUCGGAACUGGGGCUCUUAUCGGAUAUGAGCUCCUGCUCCAUGUUGGUGGAUGGAAAGUUUCGGCGGUUGGGGAUGGACUCGAUGCUUAUCCGCUUGUUUGUGGGGUUGUGGCUUACCAGGGCUGCGACGGCUAGGCGGCCUGAGAGGCUGAACGGCGACAUGGGGACUGAGAUACGGCGCAGAAUCGUACGGGAGGCAGCAGUGGGGAAUAUGACACAAUGGGCGGGAGCCUGAUGCAGAAACGCCGCGUGCGGGAUGACGGCCUAUGAGUUGUAAACCGAUUUCGAAUGUAACGAAGAGUGAGUGACGGUAAUGGGUAAAGAAGCACCGGCUAACUACGUG